RNAcentral lists this long non-coding RNA (248 nucleotides) under Gadus morhua (Atlantic cod). RNAcentral's name for it is "lncRNA (ENSGMOG00000035759.1)". Lineage: Eukaryota; Metazoa; Chordata; Actinopteri; Gadiformes; Gadidae. The record is from RNAcentral.
CACUAACCACUCGCUCAACACCAACCUUUGCAGUGUUUUGGCUAUUCAAAGAAGUGUGACAGCUGCCUAUCAUCCCCAAACCAAUGGGAAUCCAGAGGACUUCUGUGGGGUGUGCUCCUUUGCCGAAGAAAAUGCAGAUGGGAGCAUGAUUGAAAAGGUGCAUUGUGGAUUGUGCAGUAGGCGGGCACAUUUUGAGUGUGCCCAAUAUGCCCAUGAAAAUAAGGCUGUAUAUAUUUGCAAGAAAUGCC